RNAcentral lists this ribosomal RNA (485 nucleotides) under uncultured bacterium. RNAcentral describes it as "partial 16S ribosomal RNA". It matches the Rfam family "Bacterial small subunit ribosomal RNA", at positions 30 to 506 of the family's 1533-position model. The record is from RNAcentral.
AUUGAACGCUGGCGGCAUGCCUUACACAUGCAAGUCGAACGGCAGCACGGGUGCUUGCACCUGGUGGCGAGUGGCGAACGGGUGAGUAAUACAUCGGAACAUGUCCUGUAGUGGGGGAUAGCCCGGCGAAAGCCGGAUUAAUACCGCAUACGAUCUACGGAUGAAAGCGGGGGACCUUCGGGCCUCGCGCUAUAGGGUUGGCCGAUGGCUGAUUAGCUAGUUGGUGGGGUAAAGGCCUACCAAGGCGACGAUCAGUAGCUGGUCUGAGAGGACGACCAGCCACACUGGGACUGAGACACGGCCCAGACUCCUACGGGAGGCAGCAGUGGGGAAUUUUGGACAGCGGGCGAAAGCCUGAUCCAGCAAUGCCGCGUGUGUGAAGAAGGCCUUCGGGUUGUAAAGCACUUUUGUCCGGAAAGAAAUCCUUGGCCCUAAUACGGUCGGGGGAUGACGGUACCGGAAGAAUAAGCACCGGCUAACUACGU